Molecule: ribosomal RNA, 278 nt
Filed under: uncultured bacterium
Lineage: Bacteria
Description: partial 16S ribosomal RNA
Rfam family: Bacterial small subunit ribosomal RNA
Source: RNAcentral
AACGAACGUUGGCGGCAGGCUUAACACAUGCAAGUCGAGCGCUCUCUUCGGAGAGAGCGGCAGACGGGUGAGUAACGCGUGGGAACAUACCUAAUAGUACGGAAUAACGAUUGGAAACGAUCGCUAAUACCGUAUACGCCCUUAGGGGGAAAGAUUUAUCGCUAUUAGAUUGGCCCGCGUUGGAUUAGCUAGUUGGUGAGGUAACGGCUCACCAAGGCGACGAUCUAUAGCUGGUCUGAGAGGAUGAUCAGCCACACUGGGACUGAGACACGGCCCAG